RNAcentral lists this non-coding RNA (31 nucleotides) under Homo sapiens (human). Lineage: Eukaryota; Metazoa; Chordata; Mammalia; Primates; Hominidae. The record is from RNAcentral.
UGUCAGUGUGUUCCUUUCAACAUCCAGCUGC